UCCCAUACCAUUGUUCUUAAUGAUUGUCAUUUCUGUCCCAGUUUCUUUUUAAAUGUUAUUUCUGUAGGCCUUCUGGCCAAAAAUGAUUAUAAAAUUUCAAUAAAGAAAUAAGUUUGUAAUAUCAUUGUGAAUGGUGUUAUUAUUUUUUGUGGACAUUUGAACAAUGGUGUGUAUAUGUUAUCACAACCUGUUAACGUAGUCUAUUCUACUGGCAAGCACCC
This 221-nucleotide long non-coding RNA is filed under the name Elaeis guineensis (African oil palm). RNAcentral's name for it is "long non-coding RNA (EGUI_LNC064046)". Lineage: Eukaryota; Viridiplantae; Streptophyta; Magnoliopsida; Arecales; Arecaceae. The record is from RNAcentral.